This 218-nucleotide long non-coding RNA is filed under the name Ananas comosus (pineapple). RNAcentral's name for it is "long non-coding RNA (ACOM_LNC037206)". Lineage: Eukaryota; Viridiplantae; Streptophyta; Magnoliopsida; Poales; Bromeliaceae. The record is from RNAcentral.
AUUUAUUUUCUUUUACGGACCGUCUUUAGCGCAAGUAGAAAAAGGGCUUGAUGGUUGGUACCCGAGACCCAAGUUUGAAUCCUAAUUGAUUCACAUUUUCAGCUAAGUUUAUUUCUAAAUAAAAUAAUGAAGCGGGUAGCGUGCUACCUAUCUUUCAAAAAAAAAAAGCAUUUAUUUUCUUUUAUUACUAAAAUUUGAAAAAAAAAAUAAAAAUUCUA